RNAcentral lists this ribosomal RNA (724 nucleotides) under uncultured bacterium. Its description in RNAcentral is "bacterial SSU rRNA". It matches the Rfam family "Bacterial small subunit ribosomal RNA", at positions 9 to 746 of the family's 1533-position model. The record is from RNAcentral.
UAGUUUGAUCCUGGCUCAGGACGAACGCUGGCGGCGCGCUUCAUACAUGCAAGUCGAGCGGGGUCCAUCGGGCUUGCCCGAGAAGACCUAGCGGCGAACGGGUGCGUAACACGUGAGCAACCUGCCCCGAAGACCGGGAUAAGCCGGGGAAACUUGGUCUAAUACCGGAUGCCCUCACCGGACCGCAUGACUCGGUGAGGAAAUGUCUUAUCGCUUCGGGAUGGGCUCGCGGCCUAUCAGCUUGUUGGUGGGGUAACGGCCUACCAAGGCAACGACGGGUAGCUGGUCUGAGAGGAUGUCCAGCCACACUGGGACUGAGACACGGCCCAGACUCCUACGGGAGGCAGCAGUAGGGAAUCUUGCGCAAUGGGCGAAAGCCUGACGCAGCGACGCCGCGUGCGGGAUGAAGGCCUUCGGGUCGUAAACCGCUUUCAGCAGGGACGAAAUUGACGGUACCUGCAGAAGAAGCCCCGGCCAACUACGUGCCAGCAGCCGCGGUAAUACGUAGGGGGCUAGCGUUGUCCGGAUUUAUUGGGCGUAAAGAGCUCGUAGGCGGUUGGGCAAGUCACGUGUGAAAUCUCCACGCUCAACGUGGAGGCGCCACGUGAGACUGCCCUGACUAGAGUCCGGUAGGGGAGUGUGGAAUUCCCGGUGUAGCGGUGAAAUGCGCAGAGAUCGGGAGGACACCCGUAGCGAAGGCGGCACUCUGGGCCGGUACUGACGC